Molecule: ribosomal RNA, 255 nt
Filed under: uncultured prokaryote
Description: partial 16S ribosomal RNA
Rfam family: Bacterial small subunit ribosomal RNA
Source: RNAcentral
UAACACGUAGGGGGCUAGCGUUGUCCGGAAUCAUUGGGCGUAAAGCGCGUGUAGGCGGUCCGGUAAGUCCGCUGUGAAAGUCGGGGGCUCAACCCUCGGAUGCCGGUGGAUACUGUCGGGCUUGAGUACGGAAGAGGCGAGUGGAAUUCCUGGUGUAGCGGUGAAAUGCGCAGAUAUCAGGAGGAACACCAAUUGCGAAGGCAGCUCGCUGGGACGUUACUGACGCUGAGACGCGAAAGCGUGGGGAGCAAACAG